UCAGUCGACUCCUACGGGGAGGCAGCAGUGGGGAAUAUUGCACAAUGGGGGGAAACCCUGAUGCAGCCAUGCCGCGUGUGUGAAGAAGGCCUUCGGGUUGUAAAGCACUUUCAGUAGGGAGGAAGGUAGUGUAGUUAACACCUGCAUUAUUUGACGUUACCUACAGAAGAAGCACCGGCUAACUCCGUGCCAGCAGCCGCGGUAAUACGGAGGGUGCGAGCGUUAAUCGGAAUUACUGGGCGUAAAGCGCAUGCAGGCGGCCUGUUAAGUCAGAUGUGAAAGCCCGGGGCUUAACCUCGGAAUUGCAUUUGAAACUGGCAGGCUAGAGUCUUGUAGAGGGGGGUAGGAAUUUCAGGUGUAGCGGUGAAAUGCGUAGAGAUCUGAAGGAAUACCAGUGGCGAAGGCGGCCCCCUCGGACAAAGACUGACGCUCAGAUGCGAAAGCGUGGGGAGCAAACAGGAUUAGAUACCCUGGUAG
RNAcentral lists this ribosomal RNA (477 nucleotides) under uncultured bacterium. RNAcentral describes it as "bacterial SSU rRNA". It matches the Rfam family "Bacterial small subunit ribosomal RNA", at positions 328 to 793 of the family's 1533-position model. The record is from RNAcentral.